CCUACGGGAGGCAGCAGUGGGGAAUAUUGCACAAUGGGCGCAAGCCUGAUGCAGCCAUGCCGCGUGUGUGAAGAAGGCCUUCGGGUUGUAAAGCACUUUCAGCGGGGAGGAAGGCGGUGAGGUUAAUAACCUCAUCGAUUGACGUUACCCGCAGAAGAAGCACCGGCUAACUCCGUGCCAGCAGCCGCGGUAAUACGGAGGGUGCAAGCGUUAAUCGGAAUUACUGGGCGUAAAGCGCACGCAGGCGGUCUGUCAAGUCGGAUGUGAAAUCCCCGGGCUCAACCUGGGAACUGCAUUCGAAACUGGCAGGCUAGAGUCUUGUAGAGGGGGGUAGAAUUCCAGGUGUAGCGGUGAAAUGCGUAGAGAUCUGGAGGAAUACCGGUGGCGAAGGCGGCCCCCUGGGCAAAGACUGACGCUCAGGUGCGAAAGCGUGGGGAGCAAACAGGAUUAGAUACCCGAGUAGUC
Molecule: ribosomal RNA, 465 nt
Filed under: uncultured Klebsiella sp.
Lineage: Bacteria; Pseudomonadati; Pseudomonadota; Gammaproteobacteria; Enterobacterales; Enterobacteriaceae
Description: bacterial SSU rRNA
Rfam family: Bacterial small subunit ribosomal RNA
Source: RNAcentral